CAAUAGCGUAUAUUAAAGUUGUUGCGGUUAAAAAGCUCGUAGUUGGAUUUCUGCCGAGGACGACCGGUCCGCCCUCUGGGUGAGUAUCUGGCUCGGCCUGGGCAUCUUCUUGGAGAACGUAGCUGCACUUGACUGUGUGGUGCGGUAUCCAGGACUUUUACUUUGAGGAAAUUAGAGUGUUUCAAGCAGGCUUACGCCUUGAAUACAUUAGCAUGGAAUAAUAAGAUAGGACCUCGGUUCUAUUUUGUUGGUUUCUAGAGCUGAGGUAAUGAUUAAUAGGGAUAGUUGGGGGCAUUCGUAUUUAACUGUCAGAGGUGGAAUUCUUGGAUUUGUUAAAGACGAACUACUGCGAAAGCAUUUGCCAGGUAUGUGUNCAUUG
This 379-nucleotide ribosomal RNA is filed under the name uncultured eukaryote. Its description in RNAcentral is "partial 18S ribosomal RNA". It matches the Rfam family "Eukaryotic small subunit ribosomal RNA", at positions 592 to 975 of the family's 1831-position model. The record is from RNAcentral.